GAUAUAGUUCUAUUUAACCAAACUAUUCCAAAUUACCAAUCUACAAAGCAUUAGUAAGUAUAGAAAAAUACAUAAAAUAUUUUUGUAAUCCAAAAAAAUAAAACUAAACUUUUAUUGAUAUUAAUGUCUGAAGAAAUUACAAUGUUGCUUGCCAAGAUAUUUUCCCUCUACUGCUGAAAAUACAUGAAAAUUUUACUGUUACCAAUUCUAUUGCUGAAAAAUUGUCAUAAAUUGAAGAGGAAGUGGUUACA
Molecule: unclassified non-coding RNA, 251 nt
Filed under: Hevea brasiliensis (rubber tree)
Lineage: Eukaryota; Viridiplantae; Streptophyta; Magnoliopsida; Malpighiales; Euphorbiaceae
Source: RNAcentral